GACGUAGGGCGCGAGCGUUGUCCGGAUUUAUUGGGCGUAAAGAGCUCGUAGGCGGCUUGUUGCGUCGACUGUGAAAACCCGCGGCUUAACUGCGGGCUUGCAGUUGAUACGGGCAGGCUAGAGUUCGGUAGGGGAGACUGGAAUUCCUGGUGUAGCGGUGAAAUGCGCAGAUAUCAGGAGGAACACCGGUGGCGAAGGCGGGUCUCUGGGCCGACACUGACGCUCAUGCACGAAAGCGUGGGGAGCAAACAGG
Molecule: ribosomal RNA, 253 nt
Filed under: uncultured bacterium
Lineage: Bacteria
Description: partial 16S ribosomal RNA
Rfam family: Bacterial small subunit ribosomal RNA
Source: RNAcentral